This 1432-nucleotide long non-coding RNA is filed under the name Cricetulus griseus (Chinese hamster). RNAcentral describes it as "lncRNA (ENSCGRG00015036083.1)". Lineage: Eukaryota; Metazoa; Chordata; Mammalia; Rodentia; Cricetidae. The record is from RNAcentral.
AGUUCAAUUCCCAGCAACCUCAUGGUGGCUCACUGCCAUCCGUUAUGAGAUUUGGUGCCCUCUUUUGAUGUGCAGAUAUACCUGGAAGCAGAAUGCUGUAUAUAUAAUAAAUAAAUAAAAUCUUUAAAAAAAGAAAAUGUCAUACAAAAGAAAGAAAGAAAAGAAAAAACAGAAUCUGAGUUCUUGCCUAAAUUACCUGUAUAAUCUCCGGCAUGAGUCUAAGACACCUUGCUUUUCUGGCAUCAACCUCUUACCUCCAUGUGCAUUACCACACACAUGCACCCACACACAUGUGAAGAUGCUCGAACAUGACCCUGCACACCCCUAAAAACUUUUACAACACGACUUUUCUAUGUAGCCUAGUGUGGCCUUAAAUUUACAGUGAUCCUCCUAAGGACUGGGGUUACAAGUACUGUUGGUUUCCCCACACACACCACCCCAAUUAAAUGCACCCUUCCAACUCUGAAAAUUUACCUUACCCCGGGGAAUUAAAGUUCUUUUUGUCUAGUCUUGAACCCUACUUUGCCUGCUUUUGUCUGGGAGCCUUUUAAAAAUAAGAUUUACUUUUUAUUUUACGUGUAUGAGUGUUUUGUCUGCAUCUAUGUAUGUGUGUGUAUCAAGUGUACCUGCCAACUGAGGGCGGCGGAAGAAGGUGCUAGAUGCAUUGGAACUGGAGUUACAAAUGAUUGUGAGCCACCAUGUGGGUGCUGGAAGCCCAGUCCUCUGGAAGAGCAGUCAGAACUCUGCAUCUUUCUGUGGCUGUUUCCUCCUCACCUCCCUAGGUUAAGAGGGAUUUCUAUCAGAGCACAUUUCUAUUGUUUGACAGACAUCUUUUCUUUUCUUUUUCUUUCUUUCCUUUUUUUUUUUUUUCUUCGAGACAGGGUUUCUUUGUGUAGCUUUUGGAGCCUAUCCUGGCACUUGCUCUGGAGACCAGGCUGGCCUUGAACUCACAGAGAUCCGCCUGCCUCUGCCUCCCGAGUGCUGGGAUUAAAGGUGUGCGCCACCGACGCCUGGCGAAAGACACCUUUUCUUUCCUCUGCUAUGAACUGUGGACUCCCAGCAGGGUGUCUUCCAGCUUCUGUGUCUCCAUGGAUAGCCAAAGCUCAUUGAAUUGAAUAGCCUCAUUGCUAGGAAAGUCGGCUCACCCUAGCUUCAGUAUUAAGUUCAUUUAUUUACUGGACUCCACUUCUGUCCCUUAGAUCCAGGUUUAAAUAAUCCUGAAAGCUGUGUGCAGUGACUAGGCAGUUCUCCUGGACAUCCUUCUCCCAUGUCACCCUCGGCAACAGAAAUCUUGGGCCUGGCUUCAUUCUCCAGCAUCUUCUCUUGGAGCUGUCCCUGAUUUUGUUACCGGUUUUCAUCUGAAUCCACUGAGGAAUAUGAUGAUUUUGCUUUUGGUUCUUGACCACGAAUCUCUUGGUUCUGAAAGUCUUUU